This is a non-coding RNA of Frankliniella occidentalis (western flower thrips), 90 nucleotides long. NCBI's taxonomy places the organism in Eukaryota, Metazoa, Arthropoda, Insecta, Thysanoptera, Thripidae. The record is from the annotation of a RefSeq genome assembly.
GUCAGGGUGGCCGAGUGGUCUAAGGCGCCAGAUUUAAGCUCUGGUCCCGCGUUGCUCUGCGGGGCGUGGGUUCGAAUCCCACUCCUGACA